GCUGCAUGCUAGCUGACCUUGUGGCGUAGCCUCCUCUGUCUGCUCGCGCGCGCGUGCGCUCCAGGCUGUGGGUCACCUCUCCCUGGAGUCCCGGGAAGGACCGGUUGCGGGACCCAGGCCGGCGGGCGCCUCACACGUUCACUGGGUUCCCCGCACAGCACAGCGACUUCGAGGACAAGGGGAGCCUGAGGCCGCGGCGGCGAGCCCCAAGCCGUCUCCCGUGCGCCCCUGCGCCGGGCACGAUCAGGAUCAGUGCAGGAAGGGGCUCGGCCUGUAGGCACUCUGGCCUUAAGGUGCACCUUCAAGGCUGGACUGCUCUGAGGGUUUCAGCGAUGCAGUUUGGAAGGUGUCGUCUUCCCAUGGUCCCCCCUUCCCCAUGACACCCGCGAAAGGUGCGUGCAAACGUGGAAGUUUUGGAAGACAAGGUGGGCCCUGCUCUGCGAGUCACAAGCAGCCCAUGCGCAGGCAGCAUCCCUGCUUGCGCGUGUGUCGAAGUGGGGGCUAAACAACAGCAUCCCACGCUGCGCCGGGCACGGGAGGUCCCCACUUAGAAUCGGCCCACUGUGAAACCCAGCGGUUUUCAAAGCCUCCUUUAUGACGCAUGUGUGAAUACAGUCUCUUGAUAUUUAAA
Long non-coding RNA from Herpailurus yagouaroundi (jaguarundi), 631 nucleotides. RefSeq lists it as uncharacterized. The transcript has 2 exons. The record is from RefSeq and is a predicted model, not a curated record. Lineage: Eukaryota; Metazoa; Chordata; Mammalia; Carnivora; Felidae.